UGUGAAAUCUCGUACUACAUAAAAUAAAGCUGGGGUUUUUUGGCCAAAUGGCCUCCUGUAGUUUCACUUGACCUGACGGAAGUUAGUUUGACAUUAGUUGAUAGUUAAUCUGUUAAUAUAAUUAUUUUUUCCUUGUAAAUGUUGUGGUUAGUUGUCGAAAUUUGAUCCCCCUUUCAUGGCAUUAAAAGAUGUAUUAAUACAUUUAGUUUUACCCAUUUACCUUACAAGAUGUGAAAAGUGUAAUUUAAAUAUUUAGUGUCAUUAUCAAGCUAACUUCCUUUUGCUAGAAAAAAACAAACAAAAACAAAACAAAACUGCGCCAUUUUCCGCUCCUCGUUUUUGUCUGCGUUUAGUUAAACUUCACGUUAGUUCCUUAAAGCGUUUGGACAAAGUAAAACCUCGUAUUUACGGUAUAGUUUAUAUUUUCUAUGCUGAACAGUUUUUCUCUUCGGAAACUCCGCUGUGUCCUUAUCGUCAAAGCCUAAACCUGACCUGGAGACAUUCUUCUGGACGCUGGAAAACAAGAUGCUGACAUCUUUGGAGAUGAUUGAUUCACCCCGUCUGGCCAGAGAGGAGUGGAGAGGAGAGCGGUGCUAGAUCCUCCCCGGGGCUGCAGCUUCAUGCUGCCCUGCCAUGGCACCACCGCAGUGUUACUUCACCAGUGAUGGAGCCCCCAGCCCCUCGAUACCCCCCACCCCCAGUCCCCCAUCUCUUGUCUCCAGCAAGCUGCUGCAAUCAGCGCAGACCUUGAUUGGACUUGGGCAGAUUUGAUGCCAUCACAUCUGCCAGAAGAGGCCAAGGAGCACCAUAAUGUGAUCCGGUGACAUACAUGGAAGCCAUUGGAGAUGUUCUUGCUUGCAGUGUUUCUUUCUUUCCACCAACCCCCCGCCCCCCACCACCACCGUGCAACACAGGACAGAUUGGGAAGCCGUGAUGGCGGCACAGAAGUUGAGGGAGAAGCUAUUUAUCCCAGACGGAUCAGGAGGUGUGUGACGGAGGUGUGGACGGUUGCUGCAGGUCAGUGACGUUGGCAGGCGCCAGGCAGGCCGGCCCACAUGGCUCGGGGACUGUGGGACUACAGACAGAUGGCACCUGGUGGGUGACAAACAAUUAACAAACCAACAAGAAUAGCUGGAUCGGCAGUAUACCCACAAGCACAGGAGAUAGCAAGAGAGCGGGUGCAUCUGUGCUCUGAACACUUUCACUCUUUACUUUUCCUCUUCCCAAGUCUUGUUUUGUAUAACAGUUGCAAUUUACCCAUGUGUCUUUUUCACAAAAACACUCUUGUUGUCGUGUCGCUAUAGAAGAGUCUAAAUAAAGCGGUGUUGAGCAUAUGCAGCUAGCAUAUGCUUCUGUUUAUUUCAGUGCAGUUUUGAGAGACGCAGUGGGUAAUUUAAAUGAACAAUACAAUGAAACAACACAUUUGAUAUCUACUUAAAUGUUAAGCAAAAGUUAUAAACAAUCAUAUAAAGUCUGUAACAGCAAAA
Molecule: long non-coding RNA, 1487 nt
Organism: Scatophagus argus
Lineage: Eukaryota; Metazoa; Chordata; Actinopteri; Scatophagidae
Exons: 4
Source: RefSeq, a predicted model, not a curated record